CUAGCUACAGGCUUAACACAUGCAAGUCGAGGGGCAUCAGGAAGAAAGCUUGCUUUCUUUGCUGGCGACCGGCGCACGGGUGAGUAACACGUAUCCAACCUGCCCUUUACUCGGGGAUAGCCUUUCGAAAGAAAGAUUAAUACCCGAUGGCAUAAUGAUUCCGCAUGGUUUCAUUAUUAAAGGAUUCCGGUAAAGGAUGGGGAUGCGUUCCAUUAGGUUGUUGGUGAGGUAACGGCUCACCAAGCCUUCGAUGGAUAGGGGUUCUGAGAGGAAGGUCCCCCACAUUGGAACUGAGACACGGUCCAAACUCCUACGGGAGGCAGCAGUGAGGAAUAUUGGUCAAUGGGCGCUAGCCUGAACCAGCCAAGUAGCGUGAAGGAUGAAGGCUCUAUGGGUCGUAAACUUCUUUUAUAUAAGAAUAAAGUGCAGUAUGUAUACUGUUUUGUAUGUAUUAUAUGAAUAAGGAUCGGCUAACUCCGUGCCAGCAGCCGCGGUAAUACGGAGGAUCCGAGCGUUAUCCGGAUUUAUUGGGUUUAAAGGGAGCGUAGGUGGACUGGUAAGUCAGUUGUGAAAGUUUGCGGCUCAACCGUAAAAUUGCAGUUGAUACUGUCAGUCUUGAGUACAGUAGAGGUGGGCGGAAUUCGUGGUGUAGCGGUGAAAUGCUUAGAUAUCACGAAGAACUCCGAUUGCGAAGGCAGCUCACUGGACUGCAACUGACACUGAUGCUCGAAAGUGUGGGUAUCAAACAGGAUUAGAUACCCUGGUAGUCCACACAGUAAACGAUGAAUACUCGCUGUUUGCGAUAUACAGUAAGCGGCCAAGCGAAAGCAUUAAGUAUUCCACCUGGGGAGUACGCCGGCAACGGUGAAACUCAAAGGAAUUGACGGGGGCCCGCACAAGCGGAGGAACAUGUGGUUUAAUUCGAUGAUACGCGAGGAACCUUACCCGGGCUUAAAUUGCAGUGGAAUGAUGUGGAAACAUGUCAGUGAGCAAUCACCGCUGUGAAGGUGCUGCAUGGUUGUCGUCAGCUCGUGCCGUGAGGUGUCGGCUUAAGUGCCAUAACGAGCGCAACCCUUAUCUUUAGUUACUAACAGGUUAUGCUGAGGACUCUAGAGAGACUGCCGUCGUAAGAUGUGAGGAAGGUGGGGAUGACGUCAAAUCAGCACGGCCCUUACGUCCGGGGCUACACACGUGUUACAAUGGGGGGUACAGAAGGCAGCUAGCGGGUGACCGUAUGCUAAUCCCAAAAGCCUCUCUCAGUUCGGAUCGAAGUCUGCAACCCGACUUCGUGAAGCUGGAUUCGCUAGUAAUCGCGCAUCAGCCACGGCGCGGUGAAUACGUUCCCGGGCCUUGUACACACCGCCCGUCAAGCCAUGGGAGCCGGGGGUACCUGAAGUACGUAACCGCAAGGAUCGUCCUAGGGUAAAACUGG
This 1432-nucleotide ribosomal RNA is filed under the name uncultured organism. Its description in RNAcentral is "SSU rRNA". It matches the Rfam family "Bacterial small subunit ribosomal RNA". The record is from RNAcentral.